CAUAUAUAAUAUAAAUAUACUCGUAUACGAACAUGAACACUAUAUCCCAUGUGUUUUUCCCUCCGAUAAUUGUCCUACUAGGCUGCUUCGGUAUGAGCUUUAUUAUUUUUCACUUAAAAAAAAAAGAAGCUGCAUAAAGAUAAGUUGCCGAAACCAUUGUUUGACAUCACUUCAGGAUAUGAUG
Molecule: long non-coding RNA, 184 nt
Organism: Ceratitis capitata (Mediterranean fruit fly)
Lineage: Eukaryota; Metazoa; Arthropoda; Insecta; Diptera; Tephritidae
Exons: 3
Source: RefSeq, a predicted model, not a curated record